UACGGAGGAUGCAAGCGUUAUCCGGAUUCAUUGGGUUUAAAGGGUGCGCAGGCUGAUUAUUAAGUCAGGGGUGAAAUCUCUCGGCUCAACCGAGAAACUGCCUUUGAUACUGAUAGUCUAGAGUAUAGUUGAAGUUGGCGGAAUGUGUCAUGUAGCGGUGAAAUGCUUAGAUAUGACACAGAACACCGAUCGCGAAGGCAGCUAGCUAAGCUAUAACUGACGCUCAUGCACGAAAGCGUGGGGAUCAAACAGG
RNAcentral lists this ribosomal RNA (253 nucleotides) under uncultured bacterium. Its description in RNAcentral is "partial 16S ribosomal RNA". It matches the Rfam family "Bacterial small subunit ribosomal RNA", at positions 524 to 776 of the family's 1533-position model. The record is from RNAcentral.